Molecule: ribosomal RNA, 468 nt
Filed under: uncultured bacterium
Lineage: Bacteria
Description: partial 16S ribosomal RNA
Rfam family: Bacterial small subunit ribosomal RNA
Source: RNAcentral
GACGAACGCUGGCGGCGUGCUUAACACAUGCAAGUCGAACGGAAAGGCCCUGCUUUUGUGGGGUGCUCGAGUGGCGAACGGGUGAGUAACACGUGAGUAACCUGCCCUUGCCUUUGGGAUCACUUCAGGAAACUGGGGCUAAUACCGGAUAGGAGCUCCUGCUGCAUGGUGGGGGUUGGAAAGUUUCGGCGGUUGGGGAUGGACUCGCGGCUUAUCAGCUUGUUGGUGGGGUAGUGGCUUACCAAGGCUUUGACGGGUAGCCGGCCUGAGAGGGUGACCGGCCACAUUGGGACUGAGAUACGGCCCAGACUCCUACGGGAGGCAGCAGUGGGGAAUAUUGCACAAUGGGCGGAAGCCUGAUGCAGCAACGCCGCGUGCGGGAUGACGGCCUUCGGGUUGUAAACCGCUUUCGCCUGUGACGAAGCGUGAGUGACGGUAAUGGGUAAAGAAGCACCGGCUAACUACGUG